This 372-nucleotide long non-coding RNA is filed under the name Citrus maxima (pomelo). RNAcentral's name for it is "long non-coding RNA (CMAX_LNC001837)". Lineage: Eukaryota; Viridiplantae; Streptophyta; Magnoliopsida; Sapindales; Rutaceae. The record is from RNAcentral.
AGCUUGUGUGUUUAUUGCCUAGAUCAACCUAAUAUAUUUCUUUGUUUAAUGCUUCCAUUAUCUUAAAUUUAAAGAGCUUGUUUUAAAUUAUUUAAUGGUUAGAGAUUAGGUGAAGAGCUUAUUUUACCUAACGACACACUAAGGAAAGAUUGAGACUAACAGAGCUUAUUGUUGUCUAUGGUUGAUAGUUUUAAUAUAAAUUGAUAAUAGAAUUGAUAUAUUAUGUGCAUGUUUGGUGGUGGCGAAUGAUCCUUUAACCAAAGUUUUCAUCAUUAUUAUUUCUUUCUCCUUUAAUUAGAGUUUUUAUUAAAUUCUUGUUCGUAAUUUUGAUUUCUUUAUUUCUUACUAUUUAGUUAAAAAUUCAUAAACCCC